CCCUUAGAUGUCCGGGGCUGCACGCGCGCUACACUGAUGUGUCCAGUAAGCACCUAACCUCUUCCGAAAGGAACGGGUAACCUUUGCAAAGCACAUCGUGAUGGGGAUAGAUUAUUGCAAUUAUUAGUCUUGAACGAGGAAUUCCUAGUAAGCACAAGUCAUCAGCUUGUGUUGAUUACGUCCCUGCCCUUUGUACACACCGCCCGUCGCUCCUACCGAUUGAAUGUUCCGGUGAGCUCUUCGGACUGCGCGGUCUGCAGUUUCUGCGUUCCGUGCGGAAAGUUGCGCAAACCUUAACAUUUAGAGGAAGGAGAAGUCGUAACA
This 324-nucleotide ribosomal RNA is filed under the name uncultured eukaryote. RNAcentral's name for it is "partial 18S ribosomal RNA". It matches the Rfam family "Eukaryotic small subunit ribosomal RNA", at positions 1470 to 1796 of the family's 1831-position model. The record is from RNAcentral.